This 344-nucleotide ribosomal RNA is filed under the name uncultured bacterium. RNAcentral describes it as "bacterial SSU rRNA". It matches the Rfam family "Bacterial small subunit ribosomal RNA", at positions 1 to 334 of the family's 1533-position model. The record is from RNAcentral.
AUAGUAGUGUCAGAGUUUGAUCCUGGCUCAGGAUGAACGCUAGCGAUAGGCUUAACACAUGCAAGUCAGGGGCAGCAUAUUCGAAGCUUGCUUUGAAUGAUGGCGACCGGCGCACGGGUGAGUAACACGUAUCCAACCUUCCGGUAACUCCGGUAUAGCCUUUCGAAAGAAAGAUUAAUCCCGGAUAGUAUGGUGAUUCCGCAUGGUUUCUCCAUUAAAGGAUUCCGGUUACCGAUGGGGAUGCGUUCCAUUAGGCAGUUGGCGGGGUAACGGCCCACCAAACCUACGAUGGAUAGGGGUUCUGAGAGGAAGGUCCCCCACAUUGGAACUGAGACACGGUCCAA